GCCGGGUGCGGUGGCUCAUGCCUGUAAUCCCAGCACUUUGGGAGGCUGAGGCGGGUGGAUCACCUGAGGUCAGGAGUUCGAGGCCAGCCUGGCCAACAUGGUGAAACCCCGUCUCUA
Molecule: small RNA, 117 nt
Filed under: Macaca fascicularis (crab-eating macaque)
Lineage: Eukaryota; Metazoa; Chordata; Mammalia; Primates; Cercopithecidae
Also listed under: 1 other name
Description: Metazoan signal recognition particle RNA (ENSMFAG00000062530.1)
Source: Rfam by way of RNAcentral